Molecule: small nuclear RNA, 166 nt
Organism: Danaus plexippus plexippus
Lineage: Eukaryota; Metazoa; Arthropoda; Insecta; Lepidoptera; Nymphalidae
Rfam family: U1 spliceosomal RNA
About the family: U1 is a small nuclear RNA (snRNA) component of the spliceosome (involved in pre-mRNA splicing). Its 5' end forms complementary base pairs with the 5' splice junction, thus defining the 5' donor site of an intron.
Source: Rfam
AUACUAACCUUGCGCAGGGAUUACCGUGAUCAUGAAGGCGGUUACCCCGGGCUGGCUCCGGUCAUUGCACCGCGGCCGGGACAGGCCAGUCUGUGACUAUCCCAAACUGGGAUACGUCGUGCGUGUAAUUUUUGGUAGUUAGGACUAGCGUUCUGCGCAGUCCUUU